Molecule: ribosomal RNA, 573 nt
Filed under: uncultured bacterium
Lineage: Bacteria
Description: bacterial SSU rRNA
Rfam family: Bacterial small subunit ribosomal RNA
Source: RNAcentral
UAACACGUGGGCAACCUGCCUGUAAGUUGGGGAUAACUCCGGGAAACCGGGGCUAAUACCGAAUGAUAAAGUGUGGCGCAUGCCACGCUUUUGAAAGAUGGUUUCGGCUAUCGCUUACAGAUGGGCCCGCGGUGCAUUAGCUAGUUGGUAGGGUAAUGGCCUACCAAGGCAACGAUGCAUAGCCGACCUGAGAGGGUGAUCGGCCACACUGGGACUGAGACACGGCCCAGACUCCUACGGGAGGCAGCAGUAGGGAAUCUUCCGCAAUGGACGAAAGUCUGACGGAGCAACGCCGCGUGUAUGAAGAAGGUUUUCGGAUCGUAAAGUACUGUUGUUAGAGAAGAACAAGGAUAAGAGUAACUGCUUGUCCCUUGACGGUAUCUAACCAGAAAGCCACGGCUAACUACGUGCCAGCAGCCGCGGUAAUACGUAGGUGGCAAGCGUUGUCCGGAUUUAUUGGGCGUAAAGCGCGCGCAGGCGGUCUUUUAAGUCUGAUGUGAAAGCCCCCGGCUUAACCGGGGAGGGUCAUUGGAAACUGGAAGACUGGAGUGCAGAAGAGGAGAGUGGAAUUCC